AACGAACGCUGGCGGCAUGCCUAACACAUGCAAGUCGAACGAGACCUUCGGGUCUAUUGGCGCACGGGUGCGUAACGCGUGGGAACCUGCCCUUAGGUUCGGAAUAACUCCCCGAAAGGGGUGCUAAUACCGGAUAAUGUCUUCGGACCAAAGAUUUAUCGCCUUUGGAUGGACCCGCGUUGGAUUAGAUAGUUGGUAGGGUAAAAGCAUACCAAGGCGACGAUCCAUAGCUGGUCUGAGAGGAUGGUCAGCCACACUGGGACUGAGACACGGCCCAGACUCCUACGGGAGGCAGCAGUGGGGAAUAUUGGACAACGGGGGAAAGCAUGAUGCAGCAAUGCCGCGUGAGUGAUGAAGGCCUUAGGGUUGUAAAGCUCUUUUAACCGGGAUGAUAAUGACAGUACCGGGAGAAUAAGCCCCGGCUAACUACGUG
Molecule: ribosomal RNA, 433 nt
Filed under: uncultured bacterium
Lineage: Bacteria
Description: partial 16S ribosomal RNA
Rfam family: Bacterial small subunit ribosomal RNA
Source: RNAcentral